This is a non-coding RNA of Acanthosepion pharaonis, 82 nucleotides long. The record is from the annotation of a GenBank genome assembly. Lineage: Eukaryota; Metazoa; Mollusca; Cephalopoda; Sepiida; Sepiidae.
AGCGUUGAAACACCGGUUCCCGUACGAUCACCGAAGUUAAGCAACGUCGAGCCUGGUCAGUAGCUAGAUGGGCGAAAAUACG